Molecule: microRNA, 21 nt
Filed under: Populus trichocarpa (black cottonwood)
Lineage: Eukaryota; Viridiplantae; Streptophyta; Magnoliopsida; Malpighiales; Salicaceae
Description: ptc-miR6435
Source: miRBase by way of RNAcentral
UGAAUAAUGGAGACACUCUAG